CAUGCAAGUCGAACGAAGCACUUUAUUUGAUUUCCUUCGGGACUGAUUAUUUUGUGACUGAGUGGCGGACGGGUGAGUAACGCGUGGGUAACCUGCCUUGUACAGGGGGAUAACAGUUGGAAACGGCUGCUAAUACCGCAUAAGCGCACGGCAUCGCAUGAUGCAGUGUGAAAAACUCCGGUGGUAUAAGAUGGACCCGCGUUGGAUUAGCUAGUUGGUGAGGUAACGGCCCACCAAGGCGACGAUCCAUAGCCGACCUGAGAGGGUGACCGGCCACAUUGGGACUGAGACACGGCCCAAACUCCUACGGGAGGCAGCAGUGGGGAAUAUUGCACAAUGGGCGAAAGCCUGAUGCAGCGACGCCGCGUGAGCGAAGAGGUAUUUCGGUAUGUAAAGCUCUAUCAGCAGGGAAGAUAAUGACGGUACCUGACUAAGAAGCACCGGCUAAAUACGUGCCAGCAGCCGCGGUAAUACGUAUGGUGCAAGCGUUAUCCGGAUUUACUGGGUGUAAAGGGUGCGCAGGCGGUGCGGCAAGUCUGAUGUGAAAGCCCGGGGCUUAACCCCGGUACUGCAUUGGAAACUGUCGUACUAGAGUGUCGGAGGGGUAAGCGGAAUUCCUAGUGUAGCGGUGAAAUGCGUAGAUAUUAGGAGGAACACCAGUGGCGAAGGCGGCUUACUGGACGAUAACUGACGCUGAGGCUCGAAAGCGUGGGGAGCAAACAGGAUUAGAUACCCUGGUAGUCCACGCCGUAAA
This 754-nucleotide ribosomal RNA is filed under the name uncultured bacterium. RNAcentral's name for it is "bacterial SSU rRNA". It matches the Rfam family "Bacterial small subunit ribosomal RNA", at positions 54 to 806 of the family's 1533-position model. The record is from RNAcentral.